AUUGAACGCUGGCGGCAUGCCUUACACAUGCAAGUCGAACGGUAACGGGCCUUCGGGUGCCGACGAGUGGCGAACGGGUGAGUAAUGUAUCGGAACGUACCUUUCAGUGGGGGAUAACGUAGCGAAAGUUACGCUAAUACCGCAUAUUCUGUGCGCAGGAAAGCAGGGGAUCGCAAGACCUUGCGCUGAUUGAGCGGCCGAUAUCAGAUUAGCUAGUUGGUGAGGUAAAGGCUCACCAAGGCGACGAUCUGUAGCGGGUCUGAGAGGAUGAUCCGCCACACUGGAACUGAGACACGGUCCAGACUCCUACGGGAGGCAGCAGUGGGGAAUUUUGGACAAUGGGCGCAAGCCUGAUCCAGCCAUGCCGCGUGAGUGAAGAAGGCCUUCGGGUUGUAAGACUCUUCGGCUGGGAAGAAAUACGCAUCUCCUAAUAACGGGGUGGUGGAUGACGGUACCAGCAUAAGAAGCACCGGCGUAACUACGUGCC
This 487-nucleotide ribosomal RNA is filed under the name uncultured bacterium. RNAcentral describes it as "bacterial SSU rRNA". It matches the Rfam family "Bacterial small subunit ribosomal RNA", at positions 30 to 509 of the family's 1533-position model. The record is from RNAcentral.